UUAAGGAAUUUACAGAUAACUUUGCAAGGGGACCGCUUACAAGUGCCUCAUGUGCGUAUUGGUUUCGAUCCCAGGACAUGGAGCAGGAAAACUUGCACACCUGUUUACCGUACUCUGGCAAUGUAGGGAGGCAAGCACUCAGGGCCACGACUGCAUUACCCAGUCAAGUCAGUCGCCGAGGCCCCACUGUUUUCCUACCACACUUCAUCGGCAGUUUGAUUGCAGAGUCUGUGGACGCCAGCACAUGGUUAACUCGUGUUGCUGUGGCCACCCAGCGCCAUGCACGGUUCUGUAUCCACAGUGUUGUGUUCAGGCGCGUGUUUACAUUUCUUCGUCUGUUGAAUAAUUGGAUGAAUGAAUGAAUGAACGAAUGAAAGGGGUUUUACGUUGUGGCGACUCGCCAUGCCACUAGUUCGGGUCGGUUCGGGUGGUGGUAUCUUUUCGUCGAACACACACACACACACACAAUGAAUGAAUGAAAUGAGAACCGAGGACGGUAACCAGGCGUGUAGGGUUCCUGCCACUUACAGAAUCAAAACCAACACAGUAGUUACAGAGUCUCAUAAAGUUUCAUUAGUUCCUUCAACUACCGUGAUUCUGGAUGCCUGCCUGAGAGUUUCCGGGCCGACCCCGCAAUUGGUCGAAAUUGCUCGAUACAAGGGUUGAAAUUGGCACGGGGUCUAAACCUGGGACAAGUUAAAUUGCCGGGACAGGCCCUUGAAUUGGCCUGACAGGGACACGAAUUGGCCUGGCAGGGACAUUCCAACAGUCAGGAUUAGCCUGACAGGGACACGAAUUGGCCUGGCAGGGACAUUCGGACUGUCAGAAUUGGCCUGUUCGGGGCGUCUGUUCGGGGCGUCGAAUUAGGGAAGCAAAGGAAUUGUGCGACCGUGGCAGUCCAAAGAAUUGCUCUCCCCGACCAUGUAUCCUACCCUCUAACCCAUGCUAUGUGUUAAGGCUCCUGGCCAGGUAUGCAACGUAUAGAAUUCAACGUUCUGAAUCCCGUAAUGUAUUUACGUUACCGAGGCUUGGGCCUCGACUGCGUCAGCCCUCUUUACAUUUCCUGUCCCGGACCUAUUACGCGCAAGCCCAAUUAGACAUAUAUUCCCCUCACGCCUCUUCGCAGACAUUUACAUACUCCGUAUGGGAAGCCAAAGCCAAGUACUAAUGGUGCAGCUUCGCUGGGAAAGAGGGGGACUUCCCG
This 1204-nucleotide long non-coding RNA is filed under the name Volvox carteri. Its description in RNAcentral is "long non-coding RNA (VCAR_LNC000335)". The record is from RNAcentral. Lineage: Eukaryota; Viridiplantae; Chlorophyta; Chlorophyceae; Chlamydomonadales; Volvocaceae.